GUGGGGAAUAUUGGACAAUGGGCGCAAGCCUGAUCCAGCCAUGCCGCGUGAGUGAUGAAGGCCCUAGGGUUGUAAAGCUCUUUCGCCAGGGACGAUAAUGACGGUACCUGGAUAAGAAGCCCCGGCUAACUUCGUGCCAGCAGCCGCGGUAAUACGAAGGGGGCUAGCGUUGUUCGGAAUCACUGGGCGUAAAGCGCACGUAGGCGGAUCUUUAAGUCAGGGGUGAAAUCCCGAGGCUCAACCUCGGAACUGCCUUUGAUACUGGGGAUCUCGAGUCCGGGAGAGGUGAGUGGAACUGCGAGUGUAGAGGUGAAAUUCGUAGAUAUUCGCAAGAACACCAGUGGCGAAGGCGGCUCACUGGCCCGGUACUGACGCUGAGGUGCGAAAGCGUGGGGAGCAAACAGGAUUAGAAACCCUGGUAGUCC
RNAcentral lists this ribosomal RNA (425 nucleotides) under uncultured bacterium. RNAcentral's name for it is "partial 16S ribosomal RNA". It matches the Rfam family "Bacterial small subunit ribosomal RNA", at positions 354 to 796 of the family's 1533-position model. The record is from RNAcentral.